GCCUUCGUGGUGUAGUGGUCAGUACGUUGGGCGUGUAUCCAAGAGGUCCGGGGUGCGAGUCCCGGCGACGGCA
This 73-nucleotide transfer RNA is filed under the name Stegodyphus mimosarum. It matches the Rfam family "tRNA". Rfam says of the family: Transfer RNA (tRNA) molecules are approximately 80 nucleotides in length. Their secondary structure includes four short double-helical elements and three loops (D, anti-codon, and T loops). Lineage: Eukaryota; Metazoa; Arthropoda; Arachnida; Araneae; Eresidae. The record is from Rfam by way of RNAcentral.